GACGAACGCUGGCGGCGUGCCUAACACAUGCAAGUCGAGCGAACGGACCAGAGGCUUGCGUCUCUGAUGUUAGCGGAGGACGGGAGAGUCACACGUGGAUAACCUACCUAUAAGAAUGGGAUAACUUCGGGAAACCGGAGCUAAUACCGGAUGAUAUUUUGAACCGCAAGGUUCAAAAGUGAAAGACGGUCUUGCUGUCAGUAAUAGAUGGAUCCGCGCUGCAUUAGCUUGUUGGUAAGGUAAAGGGUUACCAAGGCAAGGACGCAUAGACGACCUCAGAGGGUGGUCGGCCACCCUGGAACUGAGACACGGCCCAGACUCCUGCGGGAGGCAGCAGUAGGGAAUCUUCCGCGAUGGGCGAAAGCCUGACGGAGCGACGCCGCGUGAGUGAUGACGGUCUUCGGAUCGUAAAACUCUGUUAUUAGUGGAGAACAUAUGUGUUUUUAACUGUGCCCAUCUUGACGGUACCUGGUCAGAAAGCCCCGGCUAACUACGUG
Molecule: ribosomal RNA, 497 nt
Filed under: uncultured bacterium
Lineage: Bacteria
Description: partial 16S ribosomal RNA
Rfam family: Bacterial small subunit ribosomal RNA
Source: RNAcentral